This is a non-coding RNA of Microcebus murinus (gray mouse lemur), 1315 nucleotides long. NCBI's taxonomy places the organism in Eukaryota, Metazoa, Chordata, Mammalia, Primates, Cheirogaleidae. The record is from RefSeq and is a predicted model, not a curated record.
AGCCGCCGCUGCGGGAGAGAGCGAGGGUGGGUGGGAAGAGGUUUAUGACCUGGCAGGUGCAGUGAGGGCGAGAGUGGGAGGUUGCGCGCGGGGGAGGCGAGCGCGCGUGCGCGACGGGGAUUGGCUAGGCUGGAGCUUCCUCCGGCCCCAAGGGGCAGAAGGGGCGGUAAGGCCCCUGCGGGGCUCAGGCGUCUUCCCGCCUCCUCCUUCGCGGUAGCGCGCGUCCUGGCUGUAUCUGUGGAGACCCACUCCUGCUUCCACACUGUCUUCCGAAGUAGGUCGUACCCGUGAAUUAAAACCACUCGAGGAAGGACGAGCUGAUUUUUCUCCUAGACGCUCAUUGGAAAGGGACAUUUUAAUUUGCAGACGUGUGUCCUAAAGAAAAGACCUUAAUGCUGUUUAAAUGAAAUAAGCUCUCACGGAAUCACAAAUCAUAGAUGAUUUUAUUUUAAAUGAGGCAAAAGGGGAAAUCAUUUCAGCUAUCAAGAUGAAAAAUGAUAUCUUAGUUUUCGGAAAACAUGGAAGAUACCAAUGUACCCAUUUUCGUCUGGCGGUAGAAAAUCUUUUUUCUGAGGACGUUGGGAAGAGGGAGAGGCAUAAAAUUGGAAGCUCUCCAAGAUGAGAAAGCUGAUACAUAGAGAGGCACCCAAGCUCCUUCUGCUAAUAAGUUGCAUAUCUCAGAAAAUUUCUUUCCAGAUGUGAAGAAGAGAAUCCUCCUAAGAGAGAUUAGAGCUGAUUUUAAAAGACAAACAUCACAAAAUAAAAUAUCACAUGUGCAAUCCUUCUUCUUCAGCCAUUGUGGUUUCUAUAUUUUCCAUAGUUACUGAAACAGCUCUUCAGGCAGUCAACAUUCUUUUGUUCAACACUGUGAAACAAGCAAAUCCAUCAUGUCUAGGUCACUGCCCCAGGCUUUGUGUGUGUGAUCUUUCAUGACAGCAACAUUUUUGAAAAGUCUAGUCUAGUAGACUUGGAUUAGUUUCUUCAUGAAAUCAAGGAAGAAAGGAAUAAAGGACCAAAGGAAUGAAUGAAAAAGUAAAAAGGAAAAAGGAAAGAGGAAAAACAGAAGGAAUGGUAAAAGCAACUGUCUAGUGAAACACAAAAGUUGUGAGUGCUUCAAGACUGGGGUUCUUCUUUUGUGUUUGCAUUUCUGGAACUUGGAGUAUCACUCAGCACAUAGUAUAUAUUCAAUAAAGAUUUCCAUUGGCCAGUUUGAUUUACAUAUUUGGUUCCUUGUUUUUCAGAUAAUUAAAUAAGGAUACAAUCUGAUGCGGCAUGUCUGGCAUUCCGUGACUUGUUAUGCUGGUGCUGGUGGUUU